RNAcentral lists this transfer RNA (73 nucleotides) under Canis lupus familiaris (dog). It matches the Rfam family "tRNA". Rfam says of the family: Transfer RNA (tRNA) molecules are approximately 80 nucleotides in length. Their secondary structure includes four short double-helical elements and three loops (D, anti-codon, and T loops). The record is from Rfam by way of RNAcentral. RNAcentral also lists the same sequence under 1 other name. Lineage: Eukaryota; Metazoa; Chordata; Mammalia; Carnivora; Canidae.
ACCUGGCUGGCUCAGUGGGUAGAGCAUGCGACUCUUGAUCCCAGGGUUGUGAGUUUGAGCCCCACACUGGAUG